GCCCGGAUAGCUCUGUCAUUAGAGCAUAAGGCUUUUAACCUAAAGGACUAGGGUUCCCGUCCCUGUUCGGGCG
Molecule: non-coding RNA, 73 nt
Organism: Trichonephila clavata
Lineage: Eukaryota; Metazoa; Arthropoda; Arachnida; Araneae; Nephilidae
Source: the annotation of a GenBank genome assembly